RNA transcript from Brachypodium distachyon (stiff brome), 2956 nucleotides. It is a transcript of the gene named transcription factor PIF1, with no coding region annotated. The transcript is spliced from 9 exons. The record is from RefSeq and is a predicted model, not a curated record. NCBI's taxonomy places the organism in Eukaryota, Viridiplantae, Streptophyta, Magnoliopsida, Poales, Poaceae.
UACAGGUGCAAGGUACUCACGUCUGAUCCCCUAAUCAUUCCCCCUGUCCAGACCUCUCCCUUCCCUUUCUCUCUCUCGCUCCUCCAUAUCUCUCUUCUAUCCCUUUCUCCUCUCUCCCGUCUCUGUCUGCGAGAAUCCACUUCAAUUCAGCUACAAUGUUGCGCAGCGGCUUCAAAGCCACUGCCGGUGCCAAGACAAGGUCCCCCUGCUUGCCUGCCCUUCUUGUUCUUCUUCUCCUCCCUCCUCACUAGCUCAGCUAGCUGCAUGCUGUGUUCGCUAGCCACUGCUCUGUAGCUACUAGCCUUCCGGGCGGAGAAGAGAGCUGUGAGAGUGUGUUGUCCUGAAGGAGCAAAGCCGGGUUUUGAAUUAGCCUUGGAGAGGGAGGAAGGUAGAAGUGGCCGUCAAAUCUUGCAACUGGAUUGGAGACUGAGGAGAGCCAUAGUUUUACAGUUUAGGAAAGCUUCUGAAGUCCUAGUACAGUGUCUGCACUGAAGCGAGUCACUCACUCACCAAGUCGUAUGAUCUGAGGCAUUAGCCAACUCGUACGUUCCAGCUGAUUGGAGCAAACAUGGGAGACGCAUCCAGACCCCUCGGCGUGGACGAUGACCUCAUGGAGCUGCUGUGGUGCAACGGCCAUGUGGUCAUGCAGAGCCAGACUCACCGGAAGCUGCCGCCGAGGCCCGAAAAGGCGGCGGCGGCGGCGGCGGUGAUGCAAGAAGACGAGGCCGGGCUGUGGUUCCCUUUCUCGCACGCCGACUCGCUCGACAAGGACAUCUUCUCGGACCUCUUCUGCGAAGCCGUGCCUCAGGCAGUGGGGAUCAAGCCGGACUGCUACGGAGACGGCAACGGCAGCAAGUCGUCCGACGCGCCGAGCGAGCUGAUGCCGCCGCCCAAGUCGACCAUGGCGGACGGCGGCGAGCUGUCGGACCUCGUGCAGGCCCGGUCCACGGGGAAGGCGGCGGCGGCGGCCAUGGAGCAGGAGGGCGCGUCGGCGUCGUCGUUCUGCGGGAGCAGCAACCAGGUGCAGGUGCAGCACGCCGGCCGCGUGCAGUCCGCGGGCACCGCUGCCUACGGCAGCAGCGCCCGGCUGCAGUCGGCGGUGGGCAGCGGGAUUAAUGCAAACGGCAGAGGCCGUGAGGCCACGGUGGCGUCGUCGUCGGGGCGCUCCAACGGCUGCUUCACGAACACGACGACGACGUCCACGGAGCCGACGAGCGCGAGCCUCCGGAGCAGCAGCAAGCGGAAGCGGCUCGACAGCCGCACCGAGGACUACUCCGAGAGCCCCAGCGAGGACGCGGAGUCGGAGUCCUUGGCGCUCAUCGAGCGCAAGCCUCCGCUGAAGCUCCCCACGGCCAGGAGGAGCCGCGCAGCCGAGGUGCACAACCUCUCCGAGCGGAGGAGACGAGACAGGAUCAACGAGAAGAUGAAGGCCUUGCAAGAACUCAUACCUCACUGCAACAAGACGGACAAGGCGUCGAUGCUGGACGAGGCCAUCGAGUACCUGAAGACGCUGCAGAUGCAGGUGCAGAUGAUGUGGAUGGGCAGCGGCAUGGCGCCGCCGGCGGUGAUGUUCCCGGGCAUGCACCAGUACCUGCCGCGGCGGAUGCCUUCCUUCAUGGCCCCGCCGCCCGCGGCGGCGGCGGCGGCGCAGAGCCUGCCGGACCACUACGCGCACUUCCUCGGCGUCAACCACCACCUGCAGCCGCCGUCCCACCACCAUCAGCAUUAUGCGGCGCAGGGGAUGGGAUACUACCCGUUGGGGGCCAAGGCCGUGCAGCAAAGUCCAGCGCUUCCGAUUCACCACGUGCACAGUACUGCCAAUGGCGCCACGCCUGCCCCUGCUGCCGCCGCCGCCGCUACCAACAGUAACACGCCGGGAAACGGGAUGCAUCCAAACAGAAUAUGAUGAUCAUCAUCAAGUAUAACUUCAAAAUCUAGCAUUAGCGGUUAGCUACGAAAUCAAACAUUUGAUUUACUAGCGGAAAUACCCGUGCGCUGUCACGGCUCGCUGCAUCCCGCUCCACAUGUUUGAAAAGAUAGCUUUUCUCCCUACUCCGUCUCCGGCCUUCUCCAUCCCACUCACCCUUUGAUUUAGAGUUCACUGGCUUAGCCAUCCAAGAGCUCCGCCGCCGCCUCUAGAGCUCUGCACUGACCUCUUGGUCUCCGUCCUCGGUCCCCGGCGGCAUUUCUCUACUCUCAUAUGCCCCUGUGCCCUCCAGUACACCCGGUGCCGCUGCUAGUUCAGCAUGCUAUAUUGUGGGCAAAUUAUCAAAAAAAAAAUGGUUGGAAGUUUGUAUGGCUGCACGGGUCCUGUAAAGACCAAGGAGUAAGAAGAGUAUGGCAAUAAAAAGAAGAGGAACUGCGGCUGCACAUCAGAAGGGUGUCGAGUGGAGGAAACGCUGAGGGGAAAACAAGGGACCCGGCGUCUUGUUUCAAUUUCUGCCCCCGUUUGAAAGCUGUGCAGGAGUGUUUUUGGUAAAUUGGUGCGGAUCUCUAACCUGAAUUGUCAAUAUAGUCUUCAGGUUUUUUUUUCAGUUCAUACUUGGGAGUUGGGAUUGUAGUCUAUUAUUGAUUUGGGCAUGCCCCUCCUCUUACAAAUAUUUUCUAAAUUCUUUCUUCUCAAGUGAGAGUUGAAAUAGAUUAGGAUUCACACUUAUAUUUUGCUGGAAAAGAAGCUGUCAAGAUUGAUGAUUUCUGGCAGCUGAUAAACACCUAAUUAAAGCACCUAAUUAAUGCUGGUAUGUUGAGCUAUGCGCGGUGCAGCUUUCUUUAGGUACAAUAUAAGCACCCGUCCGAAAGAAUGUUGUCCUGUCAUCGUCGUAGUAGUUGUUAUCGUGCUACUUAUACUUGGGUAGAAAAUUUUAGUCUCCAUGGUCCAUUUUUAUGUACCUUGGCAACUUGCUGUAUAAUUGUAUAAUCAUCUCUCACUACAUUCCUGCAAUGGUAGUAAUUCAAA